GUAGGUGGCAAGCGUUGUCCGGAAUUAUUGGGCGUAAAGCGCGCGCAGGCGGUUCUUUAAGUCUGAUGUGAAAGCCCACGGCUCAACCGAGGAGGGUCAUUGGUAACUGGAGAACUUGAGUACAGAAGAGGAAAGCGGAAUUCCACGUGUAGCGGUGAAAUGCGUAGAGAUGUGGAGGAACACCAGUGGCGAAGGCGGCUUUCUGGUCUGUAACUGACGCUGAGGCGCGAAAGCGUGGGGAGCAAACAGGAUUAGAUACCCUGGUAGUCCACGCCGUAAACGAUGAGUGCUAAGUGUUAGGGGGUUUCCGCCCCCCUUAGUGCUGCAGCUAACGCAUUAAGCACUCCGCCUGGGAUACGGCCGCAAGGCUG
This 371-nucleotide ribosomal RNA is filed under the name uncultured organism. RNAcentral describes it as "partial 16S ribosomal RNA". It matches the Rfam family "Bacterial small subunit ribosomal RNA", at positions 527 to 896 of the family's 1533-position model. The record is from RNAcentral.